Molecule: ribosomal RNA, 381 nt
Filed under: uncultured bacterium
Lineage: Bacteria
Description: bacterial SSU rRNA
Rfam family: Bacterial small subunit ribosomal RNA
Source: RNAcentral
UACGAAGGGGGCUAGCGUUGCUCGGAAUCACUGGGCGUAAAGGGCGCGUAGGCGGCCUUGUAAGUUGGGGGUGAAAGCCCGUGGCUCAACGACGGAAUUGCCUUCGAUACUGCUUGGCUUGAGUGUGGUAGAGGUUGGUGGAACUGCGAGUGUAGAGGUGAAAUUCGUAGAUAUUCGCAAGAACACCGGUGGCGAAGGCGGCCAACUGGACCAUCACUGACGCUGAGGCGCGAAAGCGUGGGGAGCAAACAGGGAUUAGAUACCCUGGUAGUCCACGCCGUAAACGAUGAAUGCCAGCUGUUGGGAUGCUUGCAUCUCAGUAGCGCGGCUAACGCUUUGAGCAUUCCGCCUGGGGAGUACGGUCGCAAGAUUAAAACUCAA